Acanthosepion pharaonis is the source of this 109-nucleotide non-coding RNA. The record is from the annotation of a GenBank genome assembly. Lineage: Eukaryota; Metazoa; Mollusca; Cephalopoda; Sepiida; Sepiidae.
CUUGCAGCCAUAUCACAUUGAAAUACUGGUUCUCAAACAAUCACUGAAGUUAAGCAAUGUUGAGUCUGGUCAGUACCUAAAUGGGUGACCACUUGGGGAUACCGAGUGC